RNAcentral lists this ribosomal RNA (171 nucleotides) under Uropterygius sp. FLMOO_1031. RNAcentral's name for it is "partial small subunit ribosomal RNA". Lineage: Eukaryota; Metazoa; Chordata; Actinopteri; Anguilliformes; Muraenidae. The record is from RNAcentral.
CACCGCGGUUAUACGAGGGGCCCAAAUAGAUGUUCUGACGGCGUAAAGUGUGAUUAGAGAAAUUUAUAAACUAAAGCCGAAGAUUCCUUACGCUGUCAUACGCUAACAGGACGCACGAAGCCCAGCUACGAAAGUGGCUUUAAAAUACUUGAACUCACGACAGCCAGACCA